GCCUUUGUAGCUCAGUUGGUUAGAGUGCUGCACCGGAAUUGCAGGGUCGCAGGUUCAAUUCCUGCCAGGGAAU
Paramuricea clavata is the source of this 73-nucleotide non-coding RNA. Lineage: Eukaryota; Metazoa; Cnidaria; Anthozoa; Malacalcyonacea; Plexauridae. The record is from the annotation of a GenBank genome assembly.